UUAAACAUUGAAUACCAGCCCUACACCAGGCACCUUGCAGAUGCUAAGAGAUUUUGAGUCUGGCCAGUCACCCUUGUAUAUUCUGAAUCUGACAGUGGACUUUAUAACUAGGGGACUAACUUAGACCCUAAAAUGUAGGGUAUGUUGUGAAUUCUCACUUUUACAUUCAGGGUAGCUUUCUCUCCUAGACCGGAUCUGGGUGUUCUCCUAAUCACUGCACAAGCCUCUUUACCAUACACAAAGCUACAGUUUUCCCAAACCUCUAUCAUUUUGAUUCUUUGAGAAAGGGCUUUUAAAGAACUUCAUGUUCUGAAAAUUAAAUAAUAAUAAUAAUACAAUACAAGCAACAUCUGUGGCUCUGAUGUCCCCACUGGCGUUACUCAGCAGGAGCCCCCAACUGCCAAAAGUUGGCAACAAUCCUGCAAGCUCAAGGGCUCAUUCUCCUAGGCACAUGUGUCGUGUCUCUGUGUGGGGUGUUCCUUCCCCAGCAUGUCCCUGUCCGUGGGUCGUGGACUACACCAGUUUCUCUCUACAGCCUUGUUUGUGCUUCAUGUAACUGUUGCACCUUGCGUGGAAUGCAUUAACUGUAGAGGGUAUCUCUGUUUUAUAUAGAAACAAUGUCUCACUUCUGGGGGAGAAAGGAAUGAGGGGCAUAUAUGAUCUGUGCCUCCCUGGCACAAUCUGGAUUUCACAAAAAGGUAGUGAUCAGAAGUUAAACCCUGUUACUGGAAAUUCACCUGCAGUUUUUCCCUGUGUGUACGAUACAAGAACUGAUUCUCACUAUUCUCUUAACAACACUUUCUAUUGCAAAGUUUGUGUCAAUAAAGUCAUCAAUUUCAAACAUA
Molecule: long non-coding RNA, 845 nt
Organism: Neofelis nebulosa (Clouded leopard)
Lineage: Eukaryota; Metazoa; Chordata; Mammalia; Carnivora; Felidae
Exons: 2
Source: RefSeq, a predicted model, not a curated record